UGGAGCAUCGUCCAAUGGUUAGGACCCGGGUUUUUGGUGCCUGUAAUGGGGGUUCGAAUCCCUCUGCUCCAGCCA
This 75-nucleotide transfer RNA is filed under the name Atopobium sp. RNAcentral's name for it is "tRNA-Gln". It matches the Rfam family "tRNA". From Rfam's summary of the family: Transfer RNA (tRNA) molecules are approximately 80 nucleotides in length. Their secondary structure includes four short double-helical elements and three loops (D, anti-codon, and T loops). RNAcentral also lists the same sequence under 3 other names. Lineage: Bacteria; Bacillati; Actinomycetota; Coriobacteriia; Coriobacteriales; Atopobiaceae. The record is from RNAcentral.